CUCAUAUCAAAGGGUCUGAAUAUCAAAGGGUCUGAAAAUAAGACACCUGAAGAGAGAGAAUACAACACCUCUCAUAUCCUGGCAAGAGGUCUCAUAGAGAGAGUUUUUGGAGUGUGGAAAAAAAGAUUCCCAUGCCUAAAGGAGGGGCUCCGCACGAAGAUGGACAAUACACUGACAAUCAUUAUUGCAGUGGCAGUUCUGUAUAACUUUGGCAAGAGACAAGGAGACGAGCUACCUGAGGAGGCUGAGGAGGUCCUACCUGAGGAGAAUGCAGAAGAUGGCCAGGUGCAACAUGCUGCCAAUGCAAAUGGGAAUGCUGUGAGGAGAACCUUGAUUGAGAACCAUUUUGCAGCCUAAGGGUGGAACUAGAAGCACCAGAACUCAAGAGUGGGGACAAGACUGGAGGAAACCAAAUUGCUUGGGAAAUCAUUGUUGCUUAUAUAAAGAAUUGCU
Molecule: long non-coding RNA, 453 nt
Organism: Coregonus clupeaformis (lake whitefish)
Lineage: Eukaryota; Metazoa; Chordata; Actinopteri; Salmoniformes; Salmonidae
Exons: 3
Source: RefSeq, a predicted model, not a curated record